UACAGAGGGGGCAAGCGUUAUUCGGAAUUAUUGGGCGUAAAGGGCGCGUAGGCGGCCUGGCAAGUGGAAGGUGAAAUCCCUCGGCUUAACCGAGGAACUGCCCUCCAAACUGCUUGGCUUGAGACCGGGAGAGGUGAGUGGAAUUCCCAGUGUAGCGGUGAAAUGCGUAGAUAUUGGGAGGAACACCAGUGGCGAAGGCGGCUCACUGGACCGGUACUGACGCUGACGGCGACGAAAGCGGUGGGGAGCAAAACGGG
This 257-nucleotide ribosomal RNA is filed under the name uncultured bacterium. RNAcentral describes it as "partial 16S ribosomal RNA". It matches the Rfam family "Bacterial small subunit ribosomal RNA", at positions 524 to 777 of the family's 1533-position model. The record is from RNAcentral.